AUGGACACCGCGCCUGUCUUCGUCGCCACCAGCAGGAGCAGGAGCCCCAUGGCUUUCACCGCCGUCCUGCCUACUCCGUUGGAGCUCCCCGCCGCCGGAUCAGGAGCUCCGCCUCCCUGCUUCGCCACGCCUACGCCGGACCAGCUCAUCGAAGCUCUCAACGCCGGCGAUCUCCAGGAACUUUUUCCUCGCGCCUCUUCUUCCUUCUCUUUCUCUCCUCUACCUCUGAUCUCUCUCUUGUUCUAUGUAACAGGAGACCACCUCAUGGCCGCCGAACCCUUGCUUCGCCUCGGUUCCCACCUGAGACGUCGUCCAGCGCCCGGAUCAGCACCUCCCUCCGUUCCCUGCAUCGUUGCAUCGCCCGGAUCAGCGCCUCGGUUCCCAUGCACCUCUGGUGCUUGCUGCAUGGAUGCCAAGGCCGUCGUUGCCUUUGCCCAGUGUUUCCGCCACUGGAGCGGGCACCACAUACGCAAACCCGCUUCCUUCGGACGUGACCGGUUCUUUUUGUCCUCGACACUGUUGAUGGAAGCCUCUUGUGUUGUUUCGUAUUUGGGUCAUGUCAAGUUUGUUUCCAAGACCCUUUCGUGGAGUGUCGUCUAG
RNAcentral lists this ribosomal RNA (600 nucleotides) under Triticum aestivum (bread wheat). Its description in RNAcentral is "partial small subunit ribosomal RNA". The record is from RNAcentral. Lineage: Eukaryota; Viridiplantae; Streptophyta; Magnoliopsida; Poales; Poaceae.